Molecule: long non-coding RNA, 1985 nt
Organism: Onychostoma macrolepis
Lineage: Eukaryota; Metazoa; Chordata; Actinopteri; Cypriniformes; Cyprinidae
Exons: 8
Source: RefSeq, a predicted model, not a curated record
AUUUUAUGUGCUCCGUGUCUCCUACGUUCCCUGUGUUCCAGCUGUUGUAUCAUUAAAAGACUGUUUGUUGAAGAAUUCCUCGUCUCCCCGUUCCCUUACUCCAGCGUAUCGUGACAGAGGAUCCAUUGCUGAGACACUGAUGCAAUGCUACAUUUUUCGAAAUCUGAUGAAGAAACAAACUCAUCUACAUCUUAGAUGACCUGAGGAUGAGUACAUUUUCAGCAAAUUUUCAUUUUGGGAUGAAUUAUUCCUUAAAUCUUCUGAGCUUUGAUUCAUGUUGGAUUUUUCCAUUCUUCAGAACCUCAAAGGUUCAACCUUUGACAAAUCGACUGACAUGAGUUUCUAUCACUUAAAUUCUACAUUCCUCAUCCCUGUAUUUUUCCCCCUGAAGAGAACACAACAUGCCUCACCAGAAAGAUUUGCAUUUCUUUGAUGGAUGGCCUGUGUUUCAGCAAAGCGAUGUUCUUCUGUGCACACCAGCCUCGGGCGCAGCACAUUAGGACGGAGCGCGUGUUGAUGAACUGUAUAUGAAUAUGCAUGCGCAGUCAGGAUGCCACAGCAGCUGCGCAUAAACAACAUUUGCCAGGCAUUGAAGAUAGCAGAUAUUCUUCUUGAUGUCCUGCACCGUGAGCUGAGAGACAGACUGUGCCGCAUCCGUCACUGACAGAUGAGAGUGAGUGAUGCUGACAGAUGACACAAUCCUUCAGAUCCAGUGACGAAAUUAAACAUGUGUGAGAAAAGAUCCUUCAGAGGAAAAUCCAGCAGCUCAAGAUCCCUGAUGAUUUCAGUCUGAUCUGAACUGUUUAAGUGGCACUAAAUGAUUUAUGAAUCUGUCACAAUGUGAUGAGACUUUACUGUGGAGCAGUGUGAACUAUAUUGGAUCCAAAAGCGAACCUGGAGCAUAGUUGUCCUGCAUUCUGGAUCAUUGUAUCAUCUGCAGCAGCUCCUGCUCUUCCGGAUGAAAUCUGUGUGUCGUAUUGCUGAGAAUGCAGGGGGUUUGAAUGAUGUGGCUUUUAUACCGCAGGCAACUGAAAACUAGCGGCAUUUGUCACAAGUGAACAUCCUCCUGACAGCGGGCCGAUCAAUUCACCUCAGAAUAACCGGUCUCCUCGCGGCUCACUCCAGAUUUUCCCCACUCAGACUGACACUCAAUAUUGGAUGAAUAUUUCAUGGGUGCAGAAGAGAAGAUAAGGAACGGGCUGACGACGCGCGUGCACUGGUGCGGAGACGAGCAGACGCUUCCCAUUCAUUCUCUAUGGGAGGCUCGCGCUGGGGAUUGUGGGAUUGAUGGUGUGGUGAGAAUGUCAAGAAAAGUGCACUAUGUUCAACUUUAUGCAAACGAUGCAGCCGCUGACGCCUGUCAUGGGUGUUUGGAAAUCUGCUGAUGCUGCUGGAUUUACUGCUUAAAUCACAUCAUAUCACUGUAGUUCAAUUACAGUUUGCACAAAUGCAUCAUGGCUCGACUGUGGCUGGGAUAAUAAAAGUGUUUUGAAUUUACACUGUACAUAUACUUUGGGAAAUUACAUUUUUUUUUAAUGCAUAUAUAACAUAAAUUUAUUGAUGAUAUUGAAUGCAAUCUUACUGCACCUGCCUUACUUUCUCGCUGACUGGAUGUUAUGCAGACAUUGUAUUUAGAUCAUGCCCAUGAUGCUUUCUUACCUUUGUAGUAAUGCUGAAUUUAUCAGGUUUUUGACACUAAUGUGCAGGAAUAUGAUUUCAUGAAUCUUUAAACAGGACAUGACUGACAGGAAUCACAUGUACAUGUGUGCUGCAGUGAAGAUGCACGGAUGCCCUGCGGUUAUAUGAAGAUUGAUGUUAUUUGGCAUUGUGAUUUCAUUCUUUGAAUGUAAAGAGGUCAAACAGAAGGACAGAGAGAAGACUAAGCAAAGCUGACAUGUUGAUGUGCAACUGGUAAUGAACAUGACAUGCAGUACAGUGUGCUGAGUUUGAGGCUGGCUUGUGUCAUGUUUCAGUCCCAUUUUUCA